Small nuclear RNA from Grammomys surdaster, 186 nucleotides. RefSeq annotates it as U2 spliceosomal RNA. The record is from RefSeq and is a predicted model, not a curated record. NCBI's taxonomy places the organism in Eukaryota, Metazoa, Chordata, Mammalia, Rodentia, Muridae. The transcript has a single exon.
AUCGCUUCUCAGCCUUUUGGCUAAGAUCAAGUGUAGUACCUGUGGUCUGGAUUAUAGAGGCAAGGGCUGAGGAAGGAGUUAUAUGGCUCAGGCAGUGGAGCAAAUUUUAUGUUAGUUUACUUUCUUUGGUUACAUGUUAUAGAAACCCAUUAAGUGUAGGCUGAGUGCUACUGUUGGUGACCCAUA